UUUGAGUAUAUUGAAUAAAAUACUUUUGUCAUCAAUCAACAACAGAAAAUAUUAAGUUUGUGUAACAUGUAAAAAUGAGUUUCAACAUCCUUCCUGUUUGAAUUGAGACCAUUCAGACAGACGAGGGCAACCCCGUAGCAUAUGUUCGUAUCUUGCGCAACAGUUUCUGGAUUCUUGUGGCUUCGUGGGAGAAGAGGUGUGUUUGCCCUCGACUGUGUUCGGUGAGUUAAGAACCGAAAACACACUCCUCACUCAUUGGAUGACUUCAAGCCUGAGCUGAUACAGAGAGUUCGGUGGAAAUGAAGAGAGAGGUCGCAAUCCGUUGCCUGAAGGUGUAUCUGAAAGAGAAGGAAGAGGAUCUCUUCAGAGAACAGCUGGAUGGUGAACAACAGUUCCCAGAAGAAAUGGUAAAGAUUGUAGUCACCAGACGUGCAGCAGUGUCUCUCAAAGCUGUCGCUAAAAUUGUGAUUGAAGGAACAGCAGUCCUGGAAGACCUUGAUGUGCCCAGAGUGUGUGCCUUAAUGAUGGGGCUUAUAUACACUCUCAAUCUGAGCUACCCAAAACAAGUAAAGAACACUAGAGGUAUUUCUGGAACUUGAUGGGCUUAAACCAGUCCACGGGUAAUGUCUGUUAAGUGCAAACUUCUGUCAUGAAACGAAUGUGAAUUGGACUGUAGUAUUCCGAUGUGCCUCUUACGUUUUUGUAUGCAGUCCUAGAUGAGUGUAGUUUUGAGAAAAGUUUGUAAUACAUAUAAUCUUAGCUUUGGAUUGUUCUGUUGUUGAACAUUAAAAUCUUUUGUCAUUUCCUUGAUUCUGCGACAAGUUGAACAAGUUGAUACCAAUUUAAGUUAAUGUUAAUGUACAUGAAGUACUUUUUUUAGUCAUUUAUAAUUAAAGGGCUGCUGUAAUGUUUCAUUUAUGUUGUAUUGACACAGAAGUGUAUUACUUUGAAAAUGUUUUGUAAUAAAAUAAUCAAUUGGAA
Molecule: non-coding RNA, 981 nt
Organism: Maylandia zebra (zebra mbuna)
Lineage: Eukaryota; Metazoa; Chordata; Actinopteri; Cichliformes; Cichlidae
Source: RefSeq, a predicted model, not a curated record